Molecule: ribosomal RNA, 465 nt
Filed under: Vreelandella stevensii
Lineage: Bacteria; Pseudomonadati; Pseudomonadota; Gammaproteobacteria; Oceanospirillales; Halomonadaceae
Description: partial 16S ribosomal RNA
Rfam family: Bacterial small subunit ribosomal RNA
Source: RNAcentral
CCUACGGGUGGCUGCAGUGGGGAAUAUUGGACAAUGGGGGGAACCCUGAUCCAGCCAUGCCGCGUGUGUGAAGAAGGCCCUCGGGUUGUAAAGCACUUUCAGUGAGGAAGAACGCCUGGUGGUUAAUACCCAUCAGGAAAGACAUCACUCACAGAAGAAGCACCGGCUAACUCCGUGCCAGCAGCCGCGGUAAUACGGAGGGUGCGAGCGUUAAUCGGAAUUACUGGGCGUACAGCGCGCGUAGGUGGCUUGAUAAGCCGGUUGUGAAAGCCCCGGGCUCAACCUGGGAACGGCAUCCGGAACUGUCAAGCUAGAGUGCAGGAGAGGAAGGUAGAAUUCCCGGUGUAGCGGUGAAAUGCGUAGAGAUCGGGAGGAAUACCAGUGGCGAAGGCGGCCUUCUGGACUGACACUGACACUGAGGUGCGAAAGCGUGGGUAGCAAACAGGAUUAGAUACCCCAGUAGUC